GGAGCUGGAGCUCAGUGGUAGAGCACUUGCCUUGUACACAUGAGGCACUGCAUUCGAGUCCCAGCACCA
Ictidomys tridecemlineatus (thirteen-lined ground squirrel) is the source of this 69-nucleotide non-coding RNA. The record is from Rfam. Lineage: Eukaryota; Metazoa; Chordata; Mammalia; Rodentia; Sciuridae.